ACGGCGUAGCUCAACUGGAUAGAGCCCCCGUUUUCGACGACGCUUGCGAAGUAGCAUCGCGCUAUUUUACGAGCGUCGGGCGGGGAGAUGUGGGUUCGAUUCCCACCGACCGUCCCA
This 117-nucleotide transfer RNA is filed under the name Devosia sp. Its description in RNAcentral is "tRNA-OTHER". It matches the Rfam family "tRNA". From Rfam's summary of the family: Transfer RNA (tRNA) molecules are approximately 80 nucleotides in length. The record is from RNAcentral. Lineage: Bacteria; Pseudomonadati; Pseudomonadota; Alphaproteobacteria; Hyphomicrobiales; Devosiaceae.